This 638-nucleotide ribosomal RNA is filed under the name uncultured bacterium. RNAcentral describes it as "bacterial SSU rRNA". It matches the Rfam family "Bacterial small subunit ribosomal RNA", at positions 232 to 885 of the family's 1533-position model. The record is from RNAcentral.
CGCGGCCUAUCAGCUUGUUGGUGAGGUAACGGCUCACCAAGGCAACGACGGGUAGCUGGUCUGAGAGGACGAUCAGCCACACUGGGACUGAGACACGGCCCAGACUCCUACGGGAGGCAGCAGUAGGGAAUCUUGCGCAAUGGGCGAAGGCCUGACGCAGCAACGCCGCGUGCGGGAAGACGGCCCUCGGGUUGUAAACCGCUUUCAGCAGGGACGAAAUUGACGGUACCUGCAGAAGAAGGUCCGGCUAACUACGUGCCAGCAGCCGCGGUAAUACGUAGGGACCAAGCGUUGUCCGGAUUUAUUGGGCGUAAAGAGCUCGUAGGCGGUUUCGUAAGUCGGGUGUGAAAAAUCUGGGCUCAACCCAGUGGAGCACCCGAUACUGCGAUGACUGGAGUCCGGUAGAGGAGUGUGGAAUUUCUGGUGUAGCGGUGAAAUGCGCAGAUAUCAGAAGGAACACCGACAGCGAAGGCAGCACUCUGGGCCGGUACUGACGCUGAGGAGCGAAAGCAUGGGGAGCAAACAGGAUUAGAUACCCUGGUAGUCCAUGCCGUAAACGUUGGGCACUAGGUGUGGGAAGGAGUCAACCCUUUCCGUGCCGUAGCUAACGCAUUAAGUGCCCCGCCUGGGGAGUACGG